AAAAACAUCUUGAAAAGCAGAGUAGCUAUGAUACUUGUUUAUAAAGAGAGUCAACGCGUUGGUGAAAGUUGAUAAACAAGAAGUAGUGAAUAUGGGCUCGAAAUGAUGACCGUUAGUGAUAUUUAGCUGGCGGCGGAGUUGCAUCCGUUAUUCUUGCAAGCUAUUAGUAGAUAGCUGUUAAGAUUUGUUACGUGAGUAACAGAUGAAUUAAAGGUGGUAACACGAGCAUUCGUCCUUUUA
This 240-nucleotide non-coding RNA is filed under the name Lactobacillus acetotolerans. RNAcentral's name for it is "T-box sequence". It matches the Rfam family "T-box leader". Rfam says of the family: Uncharged tRNA acts as the effector for transcription antitermination of genes in the T-box leader family. T-boxes are found upstream of many aminoacyl-tRNA synthetase genes and some amino acid biosynthetic genes usually in Gram-positive bacteria. Lineage: Bacteria; Bacillati; Bacillota; Bacilli; Lactobacillales; Lactobacillaceae. The record is from RNAcentral.